AAAUAAAUAUUAAUAAAAAAAUUUUUAAAUUUAUUAAGUAUUUUAAUGGGGGUUAAAGUAUUUUAAUAGAAAAAAUUUAAAUUUUUAUAGUUAAUUAGUAUUGUGAGAGAAAUUUGAAAUAAUUAUAAAAUAUAAAUUUAUUAAAAAGUAAUUUUUAUUUAGUGUAUCUUGUGUAUCAGAGUUUAUUAAAAAUUUAUUUUGGUUAAAAUUUUCUCGAAUUUAAAAGAGCGAAUUAAAUAUAAAAGUUAUUGUAGUAAAAAUAUUUUUAAUAUUUAAUUUGAAAUGAAAUGUUAUUCGUUUUUAAAUAUAUCUAGUUUUUUUAGAAAAAAAUUUAAUUUUAAAUUGAUUUUUAAACAUUUAUAUUUUAUUAAUAAAUUUUUAAGAUUAAUUUUAUAUUUUAAGGGAUAAGCUUUAAAUUAAAUUAAUAUAAUAUUUAAUUUAAUAUUGAAAAUUGUAUAAUUUAUAUUGUUAAAAAAUUUUAUUUUAUUAUAAAUAAUUUCAAUUAAUAUAAAAUUUAAUUAAAAUUUAUUAUUUUAUAAGAAAAAUAUAUUUAAUAAUAUAAUUUAAGUUAUAAUGAUAAAAUUAGUAUAAAUUUUUAUUAAUAUUAUUAAAUUUAAUUUAAGGUAUUUUAAAGGAAUUCGGCAAAAUUUUAUAUUCACUUGUUUAUCAAAAACAUGUCUUUUUGAAAAUAAUUUAAAGUCUAAUCUGCCCACUGAUUAAUAAUUAAAGGGCUGCAGUAUUUUGACUGUACAAAGGUAGCAUAAUCAUUAGUCAUUUAAUUGAUGACUUGUAUGAAAGAUUGGAUGAAAUAUGAACUGUCUUUAAAUUAAAUAUAGAAUUUAAUUUUUAAGUUAAAAAGCUUAAAUAAUUUAAAAAGACGAGAAGACCCUAUAGAGUUUUAUUAUUUAUUUAAAUUAAUAUUUUUAUAAUUAGUUGUAUUUAUGUUAAUUUUUAAUAAAUAAUUUUAUUGGGGUGAUAAAAAAAUUUAAUUAACUUUUUUUAAUUUAAAAACAUAAAUAAGUGAAUAUUUGAUCCAUAUUUUAUGAUUAUAAGAAAAAAUUACCUUAGGGAUAACAGCGUAAUUUUAUUUUUUAGUUCAAAUAAGAAAUAGAGUUUGCGACCUCGAUGUUGGAUUAAGAUAAAAUUUAAAUGCAGAAGUUUAAAAGUUUUGAUCUGUUCGAUCAUUAAAAUCUUACAUGAUCUGAGUUCAAACCGGUGUAAGCCAGGUUGGUUUCUAUCUUUUAAAAAUAAAAAUAUUUUAGUACGAAAGGAUUAAAUAUUUGAAUUAUAUUUUUUAAUUUGAAUUUUAUUAAAUAUAUAUAUAUAUAUAUAUAAAAAUUAUUAUGGAUUU
This 1351-nucleotide ribosomal RNA is filed under the name Lymantria dispar (gypsy moth). Its description in RNAcentral is "large subunit ribosomal RNA". The stretch from base 1070 to 1229 matches the Rfam family "Eukaryotic large subunit ribosomal RNA", at positions 2825 to 2984 of the family's 3401-position model. Lineage: Eukaryota; Metazoa; Arthropoda; Insecta; Lepidoptera; Erebidae. The record is from RNAcentral.